Molecule: transfer RNA, 957 nt
Filed under: uncultured Bartonella sp.
Lineage: Bacteria; Pseudomonadati; Pseudomonadota; Alphaproteobacteria; Hyphomicrobiales; Bartonellaceae
Description: partial 16S-23S ribosomal RNA intergenic spacer
Rfam family: tRNA (bases 85-158)
Source: RNAcentral
CUGUUUGCCAGCCUCUGAGAGGGAUGAAGAUAUUGUUUUCUUUGAUCAGAUUAUGCCGGUAAAGGUUUUCUGGUUUACCCUAUAGGGCUUGUAGCUCAGUUGGUUAGAGCGCGCGCUUGAUAAGCGUGAGGUCGGAGGUUCAAGUCCUCCCAGGCCCACCAGUUACACGAUGCUAAAAGUUGCUAUAUUGGGAGAGUUGAUAAUCCCUUACAGGAAAUUAUUGCCCUUAAUAAAACUUUAUUUUCUAAAAGCAUUCAGAGCUGACAUAGAAUAGAGCUGACAUAGAAUUGAGAAUCUGACAUAGGAAUUAUUGAAAUUGUUUUGGAAUUAUUGAAAUUGUUUUCUAUCAUUUUAAAAGGCUAAAAUAUUCUGUCUCUAUUUUUAAAAUAGCAUCAGGUGUUUUGUAAGAGUGUGAAGUUUUUAAGUGUGAGGUUUUUUAUAUUUUAGUGUGAGGUUUUUAUAAGGGUAUGACGUGAGAGCGUUUUGACCUGUUUUAGGGGCCGUAGCUCAGCUGGGAGAGCACCUGCUUUGCAAGCAGGGGGUCGUCGGUUCGAUCCCGUCCGGCUCCACCAUAAUUUGGUUCAUCAUUAUUGUUAGAAGAAUAGUUAUUGCAAGAGAUUGAGAGAUCUCUUUGCUUGUUCUAUUGAAAUUGUGAAGAAGAAGGUAUAUUCAGACGUUUUUUGCUUGAACUCAUUCUUAUGAAAGAGAUUUUUCUUAUGAAAGAGAUUUUUAAGAAUGGAUAGCUUAAAAAGAAGAAUGGAUGGCUUAAAAAGGUGGCUUAAAAAGAUGGCUGUUUUUAAAUGAAAAUAGUUAUUUUUACGCUCUUUUGACGAUUGUUACAACAUUAUACGAUUAAAACAUUAUACGAUAAUGAUAAUAACGAUAAUAAAAAGAGCUUUCAUUAUAAAAAGAGCUUUCAUUAAUAAUAAAGAGCUUCAUUAAUAAUAAGAGCUUCAU